UUCGCAAUGCCCGAAAGGGUGACGAAGCGACGCCGCGUGGGUGAGGAAGGCCCUCGGGUUGUAAAGCCCUGUCAGGAGUUAAGAAAUGUAGGUACGCUAAUAUCGUAUCUAUUUGACAAAGGCUCCAAAGGAAGCCACGGCUAACUCUGUGCCAGCAGCCGCGGUAAUACAGAGGUGGCAAGCGUUGUUCGGAAUUAUUGGGCGUAAAGAGCACGUAGGUGGAUUUGUAAGUCAGAUGUGAAAGCCUUCUGUUCAACGGAAGAAUUGCAUCUGAAACUGCAAGUCUUGAGUGUAGGAGGGGAGAAUGGAACUUCUGGUGGAGCGGUGAAAUGCGUAGAUAUCAGAAGGAACGCCGGCGGCGAAAGCGAUUCUCUGGCCUAUUACUGACACUCAGUGUGCGAAAGCUAGGGGAGCAAACGGGAUUAGAUACCCCGGUAGUCCUAGCCGUAAACGAUGGGCACUAAGUAGAGGGGUUUU
RNAcentral lists this ribosomal RNA (477 nucleotides) under Candidatus Scalindua brodae. RNAcentral's name for it is "bacterial SSU rRNA". It matches the Rfam family "Bacterial small subunit ribosomal RNA", at positions 365 to 832 of the family's 1533-position model. The record is from RNAcentral. Lineage: Bacteria; Pseudomonadati; Planctomycetota; Candidatus Brocadiia; Candidatus Brocadiales; Candidatus Scalinduaceae.